AGAGAAGAAAAAAANAAAAAAAAAGAAAAGAAAAACAAACAAUGGUUGGAGCUAUGGAAAGCUUCCUCCCAUAACGGCCCUCCCCUCCCCCAAUGACCCGGGCCCUCCCCUUGGACUCGGACGACGCCGACGACCAUUCCGCACCACCCAGAUCCCACGCCGGAGGCAGCGUCGCCGGUGCCGGCAGCGGCGGAGGCGGCACAGCGAUGCGCAUCAUCGUUCCCCUCCAGGGAGUCGUCCAGGGGCGCGGCGGCCUUGUCCUUGGCUCCCUCAUUCCCUGCGCCCUCUUCUACUUCCUCCAGCUCUACCUCAAGCGCAACCGCCCCUCCUCUCCCUCCCCCUCCCCACCCUCCCCUUCUCCGUCCUCUUCCAACCUCUCGGAGCCUCUCCGCCCAUCCCCCCGGUCCCUCUCCCGGGGCCUCAUCUCCCCACGCGGCUCCUCCGGCCGCGCCUCGCUCUCAUCCCGUGGCGCUGCCAUCGCCAGACCUGAUGAUUGCCCCUACUACAUCGGCUUCAAGAGGUGCGUCGAUGACCCAUACCAUCCCUCCUCGAAUCCUGAUGGCAUCAUGCAGCUCGGUUUGGCCGAAAACCAGCUGUCGCUGGAUCUUGUCCGGGACUGGCUGGAGAGUAACUUGAAGGAAUCCUUUCCAGGUGACAAGGAAACUGGGGGUUUGAGUAUCAGAGGAUUGGCAACCUAUCAGCCAUAUGAUGGUUUGAUGGAUUUGAAGAUGGCUAUGGCUGGAUUCAUGGGUCAAGUCCUGCAAGGAUCAGUUUCAUUCAAUCCAUCGCAAAUUAUAUUAACAGCAGGUGCCACUCCUGCAAUUGAGACAUUAAGUUUCUGUCUGGCAGAUCCUGGAAAUGCAUUUCUUGUUCCUUCACCAUAUUACCCUGGGUGGAACAGAGAUAUAAAGUGGCGAACUGGGGUAGAGUUAAUUCCUGUUCCAUGCCGAAGCACCGAUAACUUCAACAUAAGUAUUGCCGCUCUUGAUAGAGCAUACAAUCAAGCAAAGAAAAGAGGGGUAAAGGUCCGUGCUGUUCUUGUUUCUAACCCAACCAACCCUGUCGGCAACAUUCUGAGUCAGGAAACAAUGUAUGGCCUUCUUGACUUUGCUACAGAGAAAAACAUUCAUCUGAUUUCUGAUGAAAUAUUUGCUGGAUCAACCCAUGGAAGCAAUAAGUUUGUUAGUAUUGCAGAGGUUCUAGAUGCAGAAGGUUUUGACAGAAGCAGGGUUCAUAUAAUAUAUGGACUGUCGAAAGACCUUUCUCUUCCAGGAUUUAGAGUGGGAGUCAUUUAUUCCUACAAUGAACAUGUCCUGGCUGCCGCUGCAAAGCUGGCAAGGUUCUCUUCCAUUUCAGCUACCACUCAAUGGUUACUUGUCUCAAUGCUUUCAGAUACAAAGUUCAUCUCCGAAUAUCUUGAGAUAAACAGAGAGAGGCUACGAAAAAUGUAUGCACUAUUUGUAGGUGGACUGAAACGGAUAGGCAUUGAGUGCACUAGUAGCAGCGCAGGAUUCUACUGUUGGGCAGACAUGAGCAAGUUUAUUCGAUCAUACAGUGAGAAAGGGGAGCUCAAGCUCUGGGAUAAACUGUUAAAUGUAGCUAGGAUCAAUGUAACACCUGGAUCAGCUUGUCACUGCAUUGAACCUGGAUGGUUUAGAUGUUGCUUUACAACAUUGACAGAGAAAGAUAUUCCUGUAGUCGUGGAAAGGAUUAGUAGAAUCACUGAAAGCCAUUAACCUUCAAUGUUGGGAAGACAGGUAAUAUAUUAUCUUCAAGUUACAUUAUGGGGUAUCUGAUAGGUGUGUGGUUUACUGCUUUGAGAAGUUGAGCUGCAAAAACUGGGGAAGUAGACUAUCUUUUCAUUGGAGCUUGACGAGGAAUGCCUUCUAGAUUAUAUGUGUUGUGGAGAGACGUGAAUGUCAAGAUGCUUUUCAAGGGACACUUUGGAGAACCUUGAAGUCAGGCCUGCCAACCCCAAUUUUACCUGCUGCAUCUAAGUGGAUGGUAUUUCUGCAUUUGUUCUUGUCCUACUUUUAAUGGUUCAGCCUCAGUUGUAAUAGGUUAGAAAGUAUUCAAAGUUACAUGAUCAUCCUCUCCUUGCUUCUAGGGAAAAGCAACAGAUUCAAAAAUUUGCAGGUAUGUUAUAGGAACCUUUAUAUUCAUUGAAAUGUAAAUUAUUUUUUUGAUCUCCCUAGAUUACCGAAUGAAAGAUUCUGGUUGAUGUUCUGCUACUAGAAGCAAUUCUGAAAUGCUUUCAGGCAACAGGAGAAUUGUUUUAGCA
RNA transcript from Elaeis guineensis (African oil palm), 2281 nucleotides. It is a transcript of the gene named 1-aminocyclopropane-1-carboxylate synthase 6, with no coding region annotated. NCBI's taxonomy places the organism in Eukaryota, Viridiplantae, Streptophyta, Magnoliopsida, Arecales, Arecaceae. The record is from RefSeq and is a predicted model, not a curated record.